UACAGAGGUCCCAAGCGUUGUUCGGAUUUAUUGGGCGUAAAGGGUGCGUAGGUGGUAGGCUAAGUCGGAUGUGAAAUCCCGGGGCUCAACCUCGGAACUGCAUUCGAUACUGGCUUGCUUGAGGACUGGAGAGGAGAUUGGAACUCCGAGUGUAGAGGUGAAAUUCGUAGAUAUUCGGAAGAACACCAGUGGCGAAGGCGGCUCACUGGCCCGGUACUGACGCUCAGGUGCGAAAGCGUGGGGAGCAAACAGG
This 253-nucleotide ribosomal RNA is filed under the name uncultured bacterium. Its description in RNAcentral is "partial 16S ribosomal RNA". It matches the Rfam family "Bacterial small subunit ribosomal RNA", at positions 524 to 776 of the family's 1533-position model. The record is from RNAcentral.